AACGAACGCUGGCGGCAUGCCUAACACAUGCAAGUCGAACGUGAUCCGGGGCUUGCUCCGGUGAAAGUGGCGGACGGGUGAGUAACGCGUGGGAACCUGCCCAGUGGUCGGGGAUAACUGCGGGAAACUGCAGCUAAUACCCGGUAAGCCCUAUGGGGGAAAGAUUUAUCGCCAUUGGAGGGGCCCGCGUCGGAUUAGGUAGUUGGUGGGGUAAAGGCCUACCAAGCCUUCGAUCCGUAGCUGGUCUGAGAGGAUGAUCAGCCACACUGGGACUGAGAUACGGCCCAGACUCCUACGGGAGGCAGCAGUGGGGAAUAUUGGACAAUGGGCGCAAGCCUGAUCCAGCAAUGCCGCGUGAGUGAAGAAGGCCUUAGGGUUGUAAAGCUCUUUCGGCGGGGACGAUGAUGACGGUACCCGCAGAAGAAGCCCCGGCUAACUCCGUGCCAGCAGCCGCGGUAAU
RNAcentral lists this ribosomal RNA (460 nucleotides) under uncultured bacterium. RNAcentral's name for it is "bacterial SSU rRNA". It matches the Rfam family "Bacterial small subunit ribosomal RNA", at positions 29 to 524 of the family's 1533-position model. The record is from RNAcentral.